ACGUUGAAACACCGGUUCUCAUACUACCACCGAAGUUAAGCAACGCCAAGGUAUGGUCAGUACCUAGAUGGGUGACCGCUUGGGAAUACCGGCUGC
Non-coding RNA from Acanthosepion pharaonis, 96 nucleotides. The record is from the annotation of a GenBank genome assembly. Lineage: Eukaryota; Metazoa; Mollusca; Cephalopoda; Sepiida; Sepiidae.